CAGCAGCCGCCGCGGGAAUACGGAGGGAGCUAGCGUUGUUCGGAAUUACUGGGCGUAAAGCGCGCGUAGGCGGUUACUCAAGUCAGAGGUGAAAGCCCGGGGCUCAACCCCGGAACUGCCUUUGAAACUAGGUGACUAGAAUCUUGGAGAGGUCAGUGGAAUUCCGAGUGUAGAGGUGAAAUUCAUAGAUAUUCGGAAGAACACCAGUGGCGAAGGCGACUGACUGGACAAGUAUUGACGCUGAGGUGCGAAAGCGUGGGGAGCAAACAGGAUUAGAUACCCCAGUAGUCCCUGUCUCUUAUAC
This 304-nucleotide ribosomal RNA is filed under the name uncultured bacterium. Its description in RNAcentral is "partial 16S ribosomal RNA". It matches the Rfam family "Bacterial small subunit ribosomal RNA", at positions 506 to 807 of the family's 1533-position model. The record is from RNAcentral.